RNAcentral lists this ribosomal RNA (968 nucleotides) under Pseudomonas sp. RNAcentral describes it as "bacterial SSU rRNA". It matches the Rfam family "Bacterial small subunit ribosomal RNA", at positions 48 to 1015 of the family's 1533-position model. The record is from RNAcentral. Lineage: Bacteria; Pseudomonadati; Pseudomonadota; Gammaproteobacteria; Pseudomonadales; Pseudomonadaceae.
CUAACACAUGCAAGUCGAGCGGUAAACAGAAGCUUGCUUCUCUUGAGAGCGGCGGACGGGUGAAUAAUGCCUAGGAAUCUGCCUAGUGGUGGGGGAUAACGUUCGGAAACGGACGCUAAUACCGCAUACGUCCUACGGGAGAAGGCGGGGGACCUUCGGGCCUCGCGCCAUUAGAUGAGCCUAGGUCGGAUUAGCUAGUUGGUGAGGUAAUGGCUCACCAAGGCUACAAUCCGUAACUGGUCUGAGAGGAUGAUCAGUCACACUGGAACUGAGACACGGUCCAGACUCCUACGGGAGGCAGCAGUGGGGAAUAUUGGACAAUGGGCGAAAGCCUGAUCCAGCCAUGCCGCGUGUGUGAAGAAGGUCUUCGGAUUGUAAAGCACUUUAAGUUGGGAGGAAAGGUAGUAACUUAAUACGUUGCUACUUUGACGUUACCGACAGAAUAAGCACCGGCUAACUUCGUGCCAGCAGCCGCGGUAAUUCGAAGGGUGCAGGCGUUAAUCGGAAUUACUGGGCGUAAAGCGCGCGUAGGUGGUUCACUAAGUUGGAAGUGAAAUCCCCGGGCUCAACCUGGGAACUGCUUUCAAACUGCUGAGCUAGAGUACGGUGGAGGGUAGUGGAAUUUCCUGUGUAGCGGGGAAAUGCGUAAAUAUAGGAAGGAACACCUGUGGCGAAGGCGACUACCAGGACUGAUACUGACACUGAGGUGCGAGAGCGUGGGGAGCAAACAGGAUUAGAUACCCUGGUAGUCCACGCCGUAAAGGAUGACAACUAGCCGUUGGGAGUCUUGAACUCUUAUGGCGGAGCUACCGGGUUAAGUUGACCGCCUGGGGAGUACGGCCGCAAGGUUAAAACUCAAAUGAAUUGCCGGGGGCCCGCCCAACGGUUGAACAUGUGGUUAAAUUCUAACCACGCGAAGAACCUUACCUGACCUUGACAUGCAGAGACCUUUCUAUAGAUAGAUUGGU